Molecule: ribosomal RNA, 497 nt
Filed under: uncultured bacterium
Lineage: Bacteria
Description: partial 16S ribosomal RNA
Rfam family: Bacterial small subunit ribosomal RNA
Source: RNAcentral
GAUGAACGCUGGCGGCGUGCCUAAUACAUGCAAGUCGAGCGAACAGACGAGGAGCUUGCUCCUCUGGCGUUAGCGGCGGACGGGUGAGUAACACGUGGAUAACCUACCUAUAAGACUGGGAUAACUUCGGGAAACCGGCGCUAAUACCGGAUAAUGUAUUGAACCGCAUGGUUCAAUAGUGAAAGACGGUUUUGCUGUCAAUUAUAGAUGGAUCCGCGCCGCAUUAGCUAGUUGGUAAGGUCACGGCUUACCAAGGCAACGAUUCGUAGCCGACCUGAGAGGGUGAUCGGCCACACUGGAACUGAGACCCGGUCCAGACUCCUACGGGAGGCAGCAGUAGGGAAUCUUCCGCAAUGGGCGGAAGCCUGACGGAGCAACGCCGCGUGAGUGAUGAAGGUCUUCGGAUCGUAAAACUCUGUUAUUAGGGAAGAACAAGUGUGUAAGUAAAUAGGCACGUCUUGACGGUACCUAAUCAGAAAGCCACGGCUAACUACGUG